RNAcentral lists this ribosomal RNA (468 nucleotides) under uncultured bacterium. RNAcentral's name for it is "partial 16S ribosomal RNA". It matches the Rfam family "Bacterial small subunit ribosomal RNA", at positions 28 to 507 of the family's 1533-position model. The record is from RNAcentral.
GACGAACGCUGGCGGCGGGCUUAACACAUGCAAGUCGAACGGAAAGGCCCUGCUUUUGUGGGGUGCUCGAGUGGCGAACGGGGGAGUAACACGUGAGUAACCUGCCCUUGACUUUGGGAUAACUUCAUGAAACUGGGGCUAAUACCGGAUAGGAGCUCCUGCUGCAUGGUGGGGGUUGGAAAGUUUCGGCGGUUGGGGAUGGACUCGCGGCUUAUCAGCUUGUUGGUGGGGUAGUGGCUUACCAAGGCUUUGACGGGUAGCCGGCCUGAGAGGGUGACAUGACACAUUGGGACUGAGAUACGGCACAGCCCAAUACGGGAGGCAGCAGUGGAGAAUAGUGCAUAAUGGGCGGAAGCAUGAUGCAGCAACGCCGCGUGGGGGAUGACGGGCUUCGGGUUGUAAACCGCUUUCGUCUGUGACGAGGCGUGAGUGACGGUAAUGGGUAAAGAAGCACCGGCUAACUACGUG